UAUUCCUACGGGACGCAGCAGUGAGGAAUAUUGGUCAAUGGCCGCAGGGCUGAACCAGCCAAGUCGCGUGAGGGAUGACGGUCCUAUGGAUUGUAAACCUCUUUUGUCAGGGAGCAAAGGGCGCCACGUGUGGCGUUUUGCGAGUACCUGAAGAAAAAGCAUCGGCUAACUCCGUGCCAGCAGCCGCGGUAAUACGUAGGGGGCAAGCGUUAUCCGGAUUUACUGGGUGUAAAGGGAGCGUAGACGGCAAGGCAAGCCAGAAGUGAAAGGGCAGGGCUCAACCCUGUACAUGCUUUUGGAACUGC
This 305-nucleotide ribosomal RNA is filed under the name uncultured bacterium. RNAcentral describes it as "bacterial SSU rRNA". It matches the Rfam family "Bacterial small subunit ribosomal RNA", at positions 334 to 636 of the family's 1533-position model. The record is from RNAcentral.